RNAcentral lists this ribosomal RNA (406 nucleotides) under uncultured bacterium. RNAcentral's name for it is "partial 16S ribosomal RNA". It matches the Rfam family "Bacterial small subunit ribosomal RNA", at positions 30 to 526 of the family's 1533-position model. The record is from RNAcentral.
AUUGAACGCUGGCGGCAGGCCUAACACAUGCAAGUCGAACGAGUGGCGGACGGGUGAGUAAUGUCGGGGAAACUGACUGAUGGAGGGGGAUAAAUACUGGAAACGGUAGCUAAUACCGCAUACCAUCGGAUGUGCCCAUAUGGGAUUAGCUUGGAGGUGGGGUAAAGGCUCACCUAGGCGACGAUCCCUAGCUGGUCUGAGAGGAGGACCAGCCACACUGUAACUGAGAAACGGUCCAGACUCCGACGGGAGGCAGCAGUGGGGAAUAUUGCACAAUGGGCGCAAGCCUGAUGCAGCCAUGCCUCGUGUAUGAAGAAGGCCUUCGGGUUGUAAAGUACUUUCAGCGGGGAGGCGUUACCCGCAGAAGAAGCACCGGCUAACUCCGUGCCAGCAGCCGCGGUAAUAC